UCCGGUUUGUCACCGGCAGUCCCAUUAGAGUGCUCAACUGAAUGUGGCAACUAAUGACAAGGGUUGCGCUCGUUGCGGGACUUAACCCAACAUCUCACGACACGAGCUGACGACAGCCAUGCAGCACCUGUCUCCGGUCCAGCCGAACUGAAGAACUCCAUCUCUGGAGUCCGCGACCGGGAUGUCAAGGGCUGGUAAGGUUCUGCGCGUUGCGUCGAAUUAAACCACAUGCUCCACCGCUUGUGCGGGCCCCCGUCAAUUUCUUUGAGUUUUAGCCUUGCGACCGUACUCCCUAGGCGGCACACUUAUCAAUUUCUCUACGACCAAUACGGGGUGAAACCCGCAUCGAUCUAGUGUGCAUCGUUUAGGGCGUGGACUAC
This 380-nucleotide unclassified non-coding RNA is filed under the name uncultured Pseudomonadota bacterium. Its description in RNAcentral is "uncultured proteobacterium contains 16S-23S intergenic spacer region". The record is from RNAcentral. Lineage: Bacteria; Pseudomonadati; Pseudomonadota.